Molecule: ribosomal RNA, 252 nt
Filed under: uncultured bacterium
Lineage: Bacteria
Description: partial 16S ribosomal RNA
Rfam family: Bacterial small subunit ribosomal RNA
Source: RNAcentral
CACGUAGGGCGCAAGCGUUGUCCGGAAUUAUUGGGCGUAAAGAGCUCGUAGGUGGUCUGUUGCGUCCGCUGUGAAAUCUCAGGGCUUAACCCUGAGCCUGCAGUGGAUACGGGCAGACUAGAGGUAGGUAGGGGAGAAUGGAAUUCCUGGUGUAGCGGUGAAAUGCGCAGAUAUCAGGAGGAACACCAAUGGCGAAGGCAGCUCGCUGGGACGGUACUGACACUGAGACGCGAAAGCGUGGGGAGCAAACAG